Molecule: ribosomal RNA, 312 nt
Filed under: uncultured archaeon
Lineage: Archaea
Description: bacterial SSU rRNA
Rfam family: Archaeal small subunit ribosomal RNA
Source: RNAcentral
CAGCAGGCGCGAAAACUUCACAAUGCGAGAAAUCGUGAUAAGGGAACCCCGAGUGCCCGUAAAUCCGGGCUGUCCGCCAGUGUAAAUAACUGGUGAAGAAAGGGCCGGGCAAGACCGGUGCCAGCCGCCGCGGUAAUACCGGCGGCUCGAGUGGUGGCCGCUAUUACUGGGCUUAAAGCGUUCGUAGCUGGGCUGUUAAGUCCCCUGGGGAAUCCACCGGCUCAACCGAUGGGCGUUCAGGGGAUACUGGCAGCCUAGGGACCGGGAGAGGUGAGGGGUACUUCAGGGGUAGGAGUGAAAUCCUGUAAUCCA